Molecule: ribosomal RNA, 460 nt
Filed under: uncultured bacterium
Lineage: Bacteria
Description: partial 16S ribosomal RNA
Rfam family: Bacterial small subunit ribosomal RNA
Source: RNAcentral
UCUACGGGAGGCAGCAGUGAGGAAUAUUGGUCAAUGGACGAGAGUCUGAACCAGCCAAGUAGCGUGAAGGAUGACUGCCCUAUGGGUUGUAAACUUCUUUUAUAUGGGAAUAAAACAGGGUAUGCAUACCCUCUUGUAUGUACCAUAUGAAUAAGGAUCGGCUAACUCCGUGCCAGCAGCCGCGGUAAUACGGAGGAUCCGAGCGUUAUCCGGAUUUAUUGGGUUUAAAGGGAGCGUAGGUGGAUUGUUAAGUCAGUUGUGAAAGUUUGCGGCUCAACCGUAAAAUUGCAGUUGAAACUGGUUUUCUUGAGUGAGCGAGAGGUAUGCGGAAUGCGUGGUGUAGCGGUGAAAUGCAUAGAUAGCACGCAGAACUCCGAUUGCGAAGGCAGCAUACCGGCGCUCAACUGACGCUCAUGCACGAAAGUGUGGGUAUCGAACAGGAUUAGAUACCCGGGUAGUC